Molecule: transfer RNA, 55 nt
Filed under: Aedes aegypti (yellow fever mosquito)
Lineage: Eukaryota; Metazoa; Arthropoda; Insecta; Diptera; Culicidae
Rfam family: tRNA
About the family: Transfer RNA (tRNA) molecules are approximately 80 nucleotides in length. Their secondary structure includes four short double-helical elements and three loops (D, anti-codon, and T loops). Further hydrogen bonds mediate the characteristic L-shaped molecular structure. tRNAs have two regions of fundamental functional importance: the anti-codon, which is responsible for specific mRNA codon recognition, and the 3' end, to which the tRNAs corresponding amino acid is attached (by aminoacyl-tRNA synthetases). tRNAs cope with the degeneracy of the genetic code in two manners: having more than one tRNA (with a specific anti-codon) for a particular amino acid; and 'wobble' base-pairing, i.e. permitting non-standard base-pairing at the 3rd anti-codon position.
Source: Rfam by way of RNAcentral
GCUUAGUAGGUAAAGCGCUCGUCUAGCAUACAAGUGACCUGGGUUCGAAUCCCAG